ACAGUCACCACCUCCUUCACUCUGUCACUGUGUCACCCGCUCCCUCACUCUGUCACUAGUCACCCCCUCACUCUAGUGACAAUGAGGGAGGGGGUGACUAGUGACAGAGUGAGGGAGGGAAGUGGUGACUAGUGACAGAGUUAGGGAGGGAAGGGGUGACUAGUGUCAAAGUGAGGAAGGGAUGACUAGUGACAGAGGGAGGGGUGACUAGGGACAGAGUGAGGGAGGUGGUGACUAGUGACAGUCACCACCUCCCUCACUCUGUCACUAGUCACCACCUCCCUCACUCUGUCACUGGUCACCCACUCCCUCUGUCACUGGUCACCCACUCCCUCCCUCACUCUGUCACCAGUCACCCCUUCCUUCCCUCUGUCACCAGUCACCCCCUCACUCUGUCACCCCCUCACUUUG
Pelobates cultripes (western spadefoot toad) is the source of this 411-nucleotide non-coding RNA. NCBI's taxonomy places the organism in Eukaryota, Metazoa, Chordata, Amphibia, Anura, Pelobatidae. The record is from the annotation of a GenBank genome assembly.